AAACUGGGAUUAGAUACCCCACUAUGUUCAGCCGUAAACUUUAAAUUACAACCCCAUCGCCAGGGAACUACGAGCAAUGCUUAAAACUCAAAGGACUUGACGGUACCCCAUAUCCCCCUAGAGGAGCCUGUCCUAUAAUCGAUAAUCCCCGUUCAACCUCACCACUUUUAGCCUUCUCAACCUGUAUACCUCCGUCGUCAGCUUACCUCGUGAGCGAAAUCUAGUGAGCCCAAUGUCUCCACAUCAAUACGUCAGGUCAAGGUGCAGUUUAUAAAGUGGGAAGAGAUGGGCUACACUUUCUAAUAUAGAAAAUACGAAAAACUACAUAUGAAAUCUAGUUGGAAGGCGGAUUUAGCAGUAAAAAGAAAAUAGAGUGUUCUUUUUAAUUUGGCACUGGGGUGUGUACACACCGCCCGUCACCCUCUUCAAAGCUUAUCAAAAGUAACUUAACUAAUUUUUGCAAUGACAGAAGAGGCAAGUCGUAACAUGGUAAGUAUACCGGAAGGUGUGCUUGGAUU
This 518-nucleotide ribosomal RNA is filed under the name Thoropa taophora. RNAcentral's name for it is "partial 12S ribosomal RNA". It matches the Rfam family "Bacterial small subunit ribosomal RNA", at positions 769 to 1523 of the family's 1533-position model. Lineage: Eukaryota; Metazoa; Chordata; Amphibia; Anura; Cycloramphidae. The record is from RNAcentral.